RNAcentral lists this ribosomal RNA (492 nucleotides) under uncultured bacterium. Its description in RNAcentral is "partial 16S ribosomal RNA". It matches the Rfam family "Bacterial small subunit ribosomal RNA", at positions 29 to 507 of the family's 1533-position model. The record is from RNAcentral.
AGUGAACGCUGGCGGUAGGCCUAACACAUGCAAGUCGAACGGCAGCACAGUAAGAGCUUGCUCUUACGGGUGGCGAGUGGCGGACGGGUGAGGAAUACAUCGGAAUCUACUUUUUCGUGGGGGAUAACGUAGGGAAAUUUACGCUAAUACCGCAUACGACCUACGGGUGAAAGCAGGGGAUCUUCGGACCUUGCGCGAUUGAAUGAGCCGAGGUCGGAUUAGCUAGUUGGCGGGGUAAAGGCCCACCAAGGCGACGAUCCGUAGCUGGUCUGAGAGGAUGAUCAGCCACACUGGAACUGAGACACGGUCCAGACUCCUGCGGGAGGCAGCAGUGGGGAAUAUUGGACAAUGGGCGCAAGCCUGAUCCAGCCAUACCGCGUGUGUGAAGAAGGCCUUCGGGUUGUAGAGCCCUUUUGUUGGGAAAGAAAAGCAGCAGGUUAAUACCCCGCUGUUCUGACGGUACCCAAAGAAUAAGCACCGGCUAACUUCGUG